This 259-nucleotide unclassified non-coding RNA is filed under the name uncultured fungus. RNAcentral describes it as "partial contains 5.8S ribosomal RNA, internal transcribed spacer 2, and large subunit ribosomal RNA". The stretch from base 1 to 52 matches the Rfam family "5.8S ribosomal RNA", at positions 103 to 154 of the family's 154-position model. Lineage: Eukaryota; Fungi. The record is from RNAcentral.
AACGCACAUUGCGCCCCUUGGUAUUCCGAGGGGCAUGCCUGUUCGAGCGUCAUUACACCAAUCAAGCCUCGCUUGGUAUUAGGCCAUCGCCCCCGUAACUGGCGGGCGUGCCUCAAACAUUUCGGCGGAGCCACACCGGCUUUGGGCGUAGUAGAAUUUAUCAAUAACGCUCUGUGGGACGGUGGGACUUUUGCCGCGCAACAGCACCUAUUUUUUAAAGGUUGACCUCGGAUCAGGUAGGGAUACCCGCUGAACUUAA